AGGGGGAUAACAUCCGGAAACGGGUGCUAAUACCGCAUAGUUUUUCUUGAUCGCAUGAUUGAGAAAGGAAAGACGGCCUUUGUGCUGUCGCUUAUGGAUGGACCCGCGGCGUAUUAGUUAGUUGGUGAGGUAAUGGCUCACCAAGACGAUGAUACGUAGCCGACCUGAGAGGGUGAUCGGCCACAUUGGGACUGAGACACGGCCCAAACUCCUACGGGAGGCAGCAGUAGGGAAUCUUCCGCAAUGGACGAAAGUCUGACGGAGCAACGCCGCGUGAGUGGAGUAAAGGGUUUUCGGAUCGUAAAACUCUGUUGUCAGAGAAGAACAAGUUGGAGAGUAACUGCUCCAGCCUUGACGGUAUCUGACCAGAAAGCCACGGCUAACUACGUGCCAGCAGCGGC
RNAcentral lists this ribosomal RNA (401 nucleotides) under uncultured bacterium. RNAcentral describes it as "bacterial SSU rRNA". It matches the Rfam family "Bacterial small subunit ribosomal RNA", at positions 137 to 518 of the family's 1533-position model. The record is from RNAcentral.